UGUCGUCAGCAGUCCCGAGCUCUCCUCCCAUUCACAAGAACGUCACUGACACAGAAAUCUUUCCGCUUUCCCUCCUUUCUCUCUCUCGCUCGCUCGCUCGCUCUCUCUCCUCUGUCUUCCCUGAUUCCACUCUCUCGUCGUCUUCCUCAUCCAACUCCCUCCAAAACCUCCUCCGAAGCUAAGGCUUGUGCGGAGGGCUCUUCCCGCGCGAUGUCAAGUCGUUCACCUUCCACCCAGAUGGCCUCCUCGAAGUCCUCCUGGACCGUCCCUGCCUGGCCAAGUUCGACACCAGAGCCUACUUUCACAGCGUCGUGAGAGCCAACCUCACUUAUGAUUUGGAGGUUCUACAGCCGAAUAUUGGGAGGAAGAAUAUUGGAUUUGAAGCUCUUAGAUGAAAGUCAGCUCAAUUUUUGUUUCUUGGGAGUUUUGGGUGUUUGCUCUCACUUUUUUUCUUUCCCUUCAGAGGUUAACUUGUAAAAAAUCCACAAGCAAACGAAGUUCGCAAAUUAGAUAGAUGAAAAUUGCAAACAGAGAUAUCGAAAUUGUUUGUGGGGAUGAGUUUGUGAAUCGAAGGUGGUGAAGCCCGCAAGCCAUUUGGAAGAACAGAGUUCAGAUCGUUACCAUUCAAUCUUUUGAUCCUCGUUGAUUGUUCUUAAUUUUCCUGCAUAAAGCACAAGAAAAAUAAAGAAGGAAAGAGAUGUCACAAUGAAUCUCACUUAUCUCUCGUCUAUUGGUCAAGCCAUUUCAUGGGAUAUGACUAGAGAUUAAUAUCAUGCAGGCAUAGAUUCUACA
Long non-coding RNA from Eucalyptus grandis, 792 nucleotides. RefSeq lists it as uncharacterized. Lineage: Eukaryota; Viridiplantae; Streptophyta; Magnoliopsida; Myrtales; Myrtaceae. The record is from RefSeq and is a predicted model, not a curated record. The transcript is spliced from 2 exons.